UGCCUAAUACAUGCAAGUCGAGCGAACGGACGAGAAGCUUGCUUCUCUGAUGUUAGCGGCGGACGGGUGAGUAACACGUGGAUAACCUACCUAUAAGACUGGGAUAACUUCGGGAAACCGGAGCUAAUACCGGAUAAUAUUUUGAACCGCAUGGUUCAAAAGUGAAAGACGGUCUUGCUGUCACUUAUAGAUGGAUCCGCGCUGCAUUAGCUAGUUGGUAAGGUAACGGCUUACCAAGGCAACGAUGCAUAGCCGACCUGAGAGGGUGAUCGGCCACACUGGAACUGAGACACGGUCCAGACUCCUACGGGAGGCAGCAGUAGGGAAUCUUCCGCAAUGGGCGAAAGCCUGACGGAGCAACGCUGCGUGAGUGAUGAAGGUCUUCGGAUCGUAAAACUCUGUUAUUAGGGAAGAACAUAUGUGUAAGUAACUGUGCACAUCUUGACGGUACCUAAUCAGAAAGCCACGGCUAACUACGUGCCAGCAGCCGCGGUAAUACGUAGGUGGCAAGCGUUAUCCGGAAUUAUUGGGCGUAAAGCGCGCGUAGGCGGUUUUUUAAGUCUGAUGUGAAAGCCCACGGCUCAACCGUGGAGGGUCAUUGGAAACUGGAAAACUUGAGUGCAGAAGAGGAAAGUGGAAUUCCAUGUGUAGCGGUGAAAUGCGCAGAGAUAUGGAGGAACACCAGUGGCGAAGGCGACUUUCUGGUCUGUA
RNAcentral lists this ribosomal RNA (711 nucleotides) under uncultured Staphylococcus sp. RNAcentral describes it as "bacterial SSU rRNA". It matches the Rfam family "Bacterial small subunit ribosomal RNA", at positions 45 to 738 of the family's 1533-position model. The record is from RNAcentral. Lineage: Bacteria; Bacillati; Bacillota; Bacilli; Caryophanales; Staphylococcaceae.